AUGCACGCUGGCGGCGUGCCUCAUACCUGCCAGUCGAGCGAACGGACGAGAAGCUUGCUUCUCUGAUGUUAGCGGCGGACGGGUGAGUAACACGUGGAUAACCUACCUAUAAGACUGGGAUAACUUCGGGAAACCGGAGCUAAUACCGGAUAAUAUUUUGAACCGCAUGGUUCAAAAGUGAAAGACGGUCUUGCUGUCACUUAUAGAUGGAUCCGCGCUGCAUUAGCUAGUUGGUAAGGUAACGGCUUACCAAGGCAACGAUGCAUAGCCGACCUGAGAGAGUGAUCGGCCACACUGGAACUGAGACACGGUCCAGACUCCUACGGGAGGCAGCAGUAGGGAAUCUUCCGCAAUGGGCGAAAGCCUGACGGAGCAACGCCGCGUGAGUGAUGAAGGUCUUCGGAUCGUAAAACUCUGUUAUUAGGGAAGAACAUAUGUGUAAGUAACUGUGCACAUCUUGACGGUACCUAAUCAGAAAGCCACGGCUAACUACGUG
Molecule: ribosomal RNA, 496 nt
Filed under: uncultured bacterium
Lineage: Bacteria
Description: partial 16S ribosomal RNA
Rfam family: Bacterial small subunit ribosomal RNA
Source: RNAcentral